UCUAAACCCAAAUAUGGCAUAGCUUUAAGGUUUGAAACAACCAACACGGACUAGAGUAUCUUUUGCCUGGGAAUUUUUAUCACAUCUAAAAGAAAAUAUCACAAAGACUUUCAGAACAUGAGGGUCCUAGAAAAAAUAGUGGUGCAGAAGAACUAGCCAAGACGCAAGAUGGAUAUCUUGACCAAUGUAAGGCUGAAGGUCUCCGCUUCAUUUUAAUUUUUCGUUGUUCCUCUGUAAUAUGUAUCAGAAUGGCUGCGAUCUUGGAGGAAUAUAGGCAUAGGUUAAAAUCACGUGCGAAAUAUAUGCUAGAGUGGAUCUAAAGCUGUCACACGAUUUGCAUGGCUCAGUAAAUCGCGGGAGAUACCGCGGGCGAUUGCGCCAUUCCCUCCUAAACAGUUAAGCCUCACGGCAAAAAACACGGUCGUGAUUUUAGUCUUUGAAUAUAACGAGCGAUAUGGAAUGGAAUUUUACCUCUUCGAAAGAAACAAAACAAAUUCAAAAUUCAAAUCACUGCCAUCAAUGGGACACAAAUAAAUUAAGGUAGGGCGAUCUCUAAAGCAUAAUUUUUAAUAUGCCAAAUAAAAGUAUGUAGUUCAUUCACACUAAUAGCGCACACACGGAAUUCACUUCUUGAUGAGUGGCAUUUGCCAUAACACGCAAUAUUUGGGCUGAAGCUAGUACCACUAUCAAGUACCUUAAAAAUAGCUUGUCAAAACAUGCAUCUAGCACUAAAAUAACUACGUUAUAGAUUGCCAACGUAUUUUCUUAAGAUGGCAUUAAAAUGGAAAAAAAGAUUGCCAACCUAUUUUCUGAAGAUGACAUUAAAAUGGAAAAAAAGAUGCCUCUCACAUUUACAUUUGCUAGCUCCUCCCCCC
Molecule: long non-coding RNA, 875 nt
Filed under: Hordeum vulgare
Lineage: Eukaryota; Viridiplantae; Streptophyta; Magnoliopsida; Poales; Poaceae
Description: long non-coding RNA (HVUL_LNC006302)
Source: RNAcentral